ACCACGUUGAAACGCCUAUUCUCGUACGAUCAUCAGAGUUAAGCAACGUCGAGCCUGGCCAGUACCUAAAUGGGUGACCGCUUGGGAAUACCAGAUGCCGUA
This 102-nucleotide ribosomal RNA is filed under the name Acanthosepion pharaonis. The record is from RNAcentral. Lineage: Eukaryota; Metazoa; Mollusca; Cephalopoda; Sepiida; Sepiidae.